UUAGGUAUGGGGUUUAACAGUGUCGAGUUGGAGUGGUGAAGAGGGAUGCUGAAGUCGAGUGACAGAGAUGUGACGUGUUUGAUUGGAUAAUAGAAUGAUUGUCAAUAAUGAAUUAGUGUAACAGGUAUGAAAAUUAUAAUUCGCUUUAAGUAUAGAAUUACACAAAAUAUGUGUUUUAUCUAAUGUGUUAGUAAGUAUACCUGAGGUGUUUGUUAGUGUGUGUCUUCUCCUUUAAAUGUCUAAGGGAGCUCACGCUGUUUAAUUUCCUGUUUUGCGCCCGCCUCUUCCCUUUCUGCACUGACUAUGCAUGGGAGAGAAAAGCUGUAAGGGCGAAGACACACUGUAAAAGCUGUGCUUUUUGAUUUAUUCUCAGUGAGUAAAGAGCCGUCACAACUGCA
Danio rerio (zebrafish) is the source of this 398-nucleotide non-coding RNA. Lineage: Eukaryota; Metazoa; Chordata; Actinopteri; Cypriniformes; Danionidae. The record is from RefSeq and is a predicted model, not a curated record.